GACGAACGCUGGCGGCGUGCUUAACACAUGCAAGUCGAACGGUAAGGCCCUUCGGGGUACACGAGUGGCGAACGGGUGAGUAACACGUGGGUGAUCUGCCCUGAACUUCGGGAUAAGCCUGGGAAACUGGGUCUAAUACCGGAUAGGACUACUGCCUGCAUGGGUGGUGGUGGAAAGCUUUUGCGGUGUGGGAUGGGCCCGCGGCCUAUCAGCUUGUUGGUGGGGUGAUGGCCUACCAAGGCGACGACGGGUAGCCGGCCUGAGAGGGGAACCGGCCACACUGGGACUGAGAUACGGCCCAGACUCCUACGGGAGGCAGCAGUGGGGAAUAUUGCACAAUGGGCGCAAGCCUGAUGCAGCGACGCCGCGUGAGGGAUGACGGCCUUCGGGUUGUAAACCUCUUUCAGCACCGACGAAGCGCAAGUGACGGUAGGUGCAGAAGAAGGACCGGCCAACUACGUGCCAGCCGCCGCAGUAA
RNAcentral lists this ribosomal RNA (478 nucleotides) under uncultured bacterium. Its description in RNAcentral is "partial 16S ribosomal RNA". It matches the Rfam family "Bacterial small subunit ribosomal RNA", at positions 28 to 523 of the family's 1533-position model. The record is from RNAcentral.